UGUCACAUGUUUCCUGUUUGCCUGACCCACUUCCUGGUCAGUGUCACAUGCUUCCUGUGUGCCUGACCCACUUCCUGGUCAGUGUCACAUGUUUCAUGUUUGCCUGACACACUUCCUGGUCAGUGUCACAUGCUUCCUGUCCUGUCAGUGUGUGUGUGUGUGUGUGUGUGUGUGGCAGUGUGUCUAUCAGAGGACAGCAGUGUGUCUCCUCUCUCAGAUCAUCACGCGCCCCUCGGCAGCCAAUAAGAACUUCCCGUAUCACGUUCGGACGUCCCAGAUCGGGAUCAUGAGCAGCCCAGGCGAGGCCUUCCCCCACCAUGCCUACGGCAACGUCAGCUUCAUCGGCGACUCCGUGCCCAACUUCACCGAGCUGUUCUCCAUCAACACCGCGGCGCCCCCACUGGCCACGGCUGAGAAGCUGGAGGAGACGGUGGCCCAGAAGGGACAGUCUUCCUGCAGGGACGGCAAGGUCAUCACCACGACGACGGCCGAGCUCAGCUCUGUCCUGCCCCCACCCCCGUUGCCCCCCCUGUUGUCCCCCAUGACACCCCCUGCCCCCCAACGUCACGGUGCCCCCUUUACAGAGUACUUCAGCAUGCAGGGAGGGGGGACAGGCCGGGUCCCGCUGGACUGAGGGAGGAGAUAGGAAUCGAGGGGACAGGAGAGACAGGAGAACGAGGGGACAGGAGAGAGGAGAACGAGGGCGGAG
Molecule: long non-coding RNA, 709 nt
Filed under: Lepisosteus oculatus (spotted gar)
Lineage: Eukaryota; Metazoa; Chordata; Actinopteri; Semionotiformes; Lepisosteidae
Description: lncRNA (ENSLOCG00000022622.1)
Source: RNAcentral